Molecule: transfer RNA, 71 nt
Filed under: Loxodonta africana (African savanna elephant)
Lineage: Eukaryota; Metazoa; Chordata; Mammalia; Proboscidea; Elephantidae
Rfam family: tRNA
About the family: Transfer RNA (tRNA) molecules are approximately 80 nucleotides in length. Their secondary structure includes four short double-helical elements and three loops (D, anti-codon, and T loops).
Source: Rfam by way of RNAcentral
GCAGCGGUGGUUCAGUGGUAGAAUUCUCGCCUUCCACGCGGGAGACCAGAGGUCUAUUCCCAGCCAGCGCA